This 379-nucleotide ribosomal RNA is filed under the name uncultured bacterium. RNAcentral's name for it is "bacterial SSU rRNA". It matches the Rfam family "Bacterial small subunit ribosomal RNA", at positions 30 to 410 of the family's 1533-position model. The record is from RNAcentral.
AUUGAACGCUGGCGGCAUGCCUUACACAUGCAAGUCGAACGGCAGCACGGGAGCAAUCCUGGUGGCGAGUGGCGAACGGGUGAGUAAUAUAUCGGAACGUGCCCGGUCGUGGGGGAUAACGUAGCGAAAGCUACGCUAAUACCGCAUACGAUCUACGGAUGAAAGCGGGGGAUCGCAAGACCUCGCGCGAUUGGAGCGGCCGAUAUCAGAUUAGGUAGUUGGUGAGGUAAAGGCUCACCAAGCCGACGAUCUGUAGCUGGUCUGAGAGGACGACCAGCCACACUGGGACUGAGACACGGCCCAGACUCCUACGGGAGGCAGCAGUGGGGAAUUUUGGACAAUGGGCGCAAGCCUGAUCCAGCAAUGCGCGUGCAGGAUG